This 2318-nucleotide long non-coding RNA is filed under the name Amborella trichopoda. RNAcentral's name for it is "long non-coding RNA (ATRI_LNC001212)". Lineage: Eukaryota; Viridiplantae; Streptophyta; Magnoliopsida; Amborellales; Amborellaceae. The record is from RNAcentral.
UUAUGAGGGGGAACAACCUAAUAACCAACUCUUGAACUGUCCAAGUAACCGUAGAGGGAGAGAGAGAGAGAAGACAGAGAGAGGACCACACCACAUGUUGCCAAUAAAUCACAGGGCACAGAGACAGCCAUUCAUACAAUCUUACUAGGGAAAAUGAAUCUGGUUAUGAGAUCAUUACACCACAUGAUUGCCCUCACUACACCAAGUCUCAUUCAAUCUGGGUAAUCACAUCAUACAACGGAUUGGCUGAUUGGUGAUGUGAUUCAGAAUGAUCUGAACACUAGAACUCAAACGAACUGCCAAAUCGAUAACACAUCUAAACAGGUCAAGGGUCUCAAAAAGAAAUCACUCAAGGUGCAUCAUCCAAUACUACAAAACAAGAGAAAUACUGACAGUUAGAGAAAAGCAUCACAUUACUCAGGCCUCUCAAACAGAAAUUCUGCCAAAAUGUCAAGAUCCUAUGGCCUGUAGGAUACAGAAUGCAAACAUGAGGACCCAAAGUACAGAGUUCAUGUUGUUAGCUGAAACGUCUAUAUAUCAAGAGAUUAUGUUCACUUGGAAGUGAAAAAUCUAGUCAGUCAGUUCAGUAUCAUUUGCAACACCCAAGGACAUCAGUGUCAUAUAUUAUGGUACUAUUUUACACACCCUGAUUAAGUUUGUCAUCCCUUCAAACAAGUAUAAUAAUACAAGCACAGUAACUGGACUUCGGAAGUAAAAUCCAACAAUUGGGAGUGACACCCUAGGUAUAACAUAAACUAAGCAAAGCUCUAAUAGUUUAGAUCAGAUAAUGGGAGGGAGUAACACUAAAUAAAUGGGAGUCAUACCCUAGAUAAGGCAAGAAUAGUAAAACUCUCAUAGUUGAUAUCACAUUCAAUGAAAAUUGUCAUGCACUGGUAAAGAGCACCAUACAAAUCACAAGUUAUCUUCCUAUUAGGAACUCCCAUCUCCAUCCCCACAAUAGAAUUCAAACUGUUUUAAAAAGAAAUGACUAUCGGGAAUAAAGUUAGGACUCACUCUAUUGUUCGAAGUGAGGCCAUUCUCUACCAUUUGCGUGACCCACAAGUUAUGAAGUGUGUUUCACACAUGACUAGUUUCUCUAUACAGGGUUUGCCAACCUGAGUUGGGUUAUUUUCCGGUCUAACAAUACAGACUAGAUUUUAACAUAUUUCUGAUCUUAAGAACUUCCACAUUAAAUCAACAUAAAAUUUAAUGAACCCAAUGCAAAGUUACUUAGAAGCUAAUAAUGUAUCUUGACAAAAAUGAAACACACACAGCAGUCAAAAUACUUUACAUUCAGCUUCAUCGAGAAUUAGUCCUUAGUAAGCAGACCACAGUUUACACUAGAAAGAUGAAAUCUAAAGAAAACAACGAACCUGCUGCAAUUAGAAUCUAAUAAUAUAUCUUGAAAACUUGAAACAUAUGAAGCAGUCAAAAUACUUGGAAUCACAUUCAGCUUCAACAAAAAUUAGUAACUACUUAAUGGACCACCUCUCCAACACUACAAUAUAUUAUCAGACACACGCAAAAAAAUCAGACUUAUAAAUCACAUUUCAUGCAUACAUACCACAGAAAUUAACAGAACUACAUACCAUGGUCUCAUAAAAUUCCAUAUCACUCUAGGAAAAAAGUCCUAAAAAGGUAUUUUUAAAUAUCAACAGUUUUCAAUAAAACUCAGAAAAAAAAUUGCUCUCAAAACAAGAUGCAAUUGUUAGCAAAGCCUCCUGUGUGCUCCUGCGAACUCCAACAAAUUUCGGGUACAUGAUCAGUCCUGUUAAAGAGAAAAUAAUUGCCUAUCAUACCAUAUAUAAACGCCGCUCCUUCCCAGGUGCUGCUCAGAGAAACUCCAAUCCUGCUUGUUAUGCUGCCAAAGAAGGGAAAAAAAUAGCAGUGCUCUCCUAUAUUUCACACAAGGAGGGGUUAAGGAACCACAAUCCAUGCACGCCCAUAGGUAAGAAAGUCCCAAAUUAUAAAAUGAAGUGUAAAUUCUUUUGUAGUAAAACUACGGCGGCAUAAAUUGUGAAUAGAAAAUCCAGAAUUGAGGCUCGUCUGCGAAGCAUAAAGCUCCAAAUUGUUAAAAGAAACCAAGUAAUGAUUUGUGAAGAAAUUUGAAGGAAUAAUCUGUGAAAGCAAUAAAGUGAAAACACUAUUCGAAGUUCCCAUCACCAUGUUGAUGAGACCCAAAAAGAAAAAAAAGAUCAAGGAUUAGCAAAGAUUUCUGUGAGAGAAAGAGAGAGAAAAAAGAUCAAGGAUUAGCAAAGAUUUCUGUGAGAGAGAGAGAGAGAUAGAGAGAGAGAGAGAGAGAGAGAGAGAGAGAAGAA